This 57-nucleotide transfer RNA is filed under the name Pseudocapillaria tomentosa. RNAcentral describes it as "tRNA-His". Lineage: Eukaryota; Metazoa; Nematoda; Enoplea; Trichinellida; Capillariidae. The record is from RNAcentral.
GUUAAUAUAGUUUAAAUAAAACGUUGAUUUGUGGUAUCAAAAAUUUUUUUGUUAACA